Molecule: small RNA, 28 nt
Filed under: Bombyx mori (domestic silkworm)
Lineage: Eukaryota; Metazoa; Arthropoda; Insecta; Lepidoptera; Bombycidae
Description: piRNA piR-bmo-1906039
Source: RNAcentral
UUCUUGCCGGUCCUGAACUUUGAUGUAC